Stegodyphus dumicola is the source of this 384-nucleotide long non-coding RNA. NCBI's taxonomy places the organism in Eukaryota, Metazoa, Arthropoda, Arachnida, Araneae, Eresidae. The record is from RefSeq and is a predicted model, not a curated record.
AGCUAUUAACAUCAUGUUACGAAUGUCAUAGCUGUAAGGCGGUCUGUGGUAUUUGCAGUGGUUUUACUAAUGGAAGAUUAUUUUAAUUUUAAUUUUGAAUUGCUUUAAAAAAUAAACUAUUGCGCUUUUAAAUUUGUGAUGCUAGUCUUUAAUAAAAGAAUGUCCAGGAAUUUGAUGUAAUUUCAACUGCAGUGUUUACAUAGGAUAUACCAGUUCAAAAUAUGAGUUGGGGAACCGAGCUUUGGGACCAGUAUGACAAUUUAGGACAACAUACCCUUCGAGGGAUUGAGUUCUUAGACAAAUACAGUUCUUUCUUAAAAGAGAGAGGCUCAAUUGAAUAUGAAUAUGCCUCAAAACUCAGGAAACUUGUAAAAAAUUACCAGC